Odocoileus virginianus texanus is the source of this 1907-nucleotide non-coding RNA. Lineage: Eukaryota; Metazoa; Chordata; Mammalia; Artiodactyla; Cervidae. The record is from RefSeq and is a predicted model, not a curated record.
UAGCAACCCCAGCAGCAAACAAUGCUGCCAAGAAAGUCUUCCCUACAAAGCUGCCUGUGCUGCUGGGGAGCCCAGAAAAAUGGCCAGCCAUCUGCAAAGACCACCCAGAGGGCUGGACGACCCAUCCCAAGUGAGAGAAACUUUCUUGAAGAUGGUCCACGCCCAUGAGACCCUCCCGACCCCGUGCACGUGGGCCCAACGCGAGUUCCUCCUCCCCAGGGAGCCCAAGGAGCUACCCGGCUUCACCCAGCAAGCCUACCACCAGCUGGCCCUGAAGCCGCCACCCUACACGGAGAUGAAGGCCAAGGUGCAUCAGCGACUGGCCUGCCCCUGGAAGGACACAGCCCAGCACACCUGGGGCUUCCACACCUGGCUGGAUGUCGGGCGUCUGCCGGCCACCUUCCCCUCCAGGCCCGACAAGCCCUACGACAGCAACGUCUGGCGAUGGCUGACGGACUCCAGGGCCCACCGCCAGCCCCCAGCAGAGCCCCCUGUGCCCCCUCCCUCCUGGCUGGGUCAGAACAGCUUCCUGACCUUCAUCUCCUGUACUCCGAUCUUCUUGGACGUGAACAGGAGGAAACAGGUGAUCCUCAGGACGGUGAAGGAACUCCAAGAGGCGGAGAAACUCAAACUGAGGAGUGAAGUGAGGGCACCCCCUCUCGACACCCAUGGCAACAUCCUUCCCCCCAAGGCCUCCAAGAAGUACCGGCACUUCUCAGCUGGUAGAAGGUAUGAGUCCGGGGGCCUCCAGCUCAUGCCCAACCCACUUCCCAAUGAUCUGGCCAGGAGCUGGCCCUGCCCAAACCCGCUGCCUCACUACCGGGAGCAGACGGCCAGGCUGGCCUUGCUGCCCAGCGCGCCUCUGAGCCAGGACCUGGUGAGGAACUACCAAACCCUGCUGGAGAGCCGGGUGGCCUUGCCCCUCCACUCUCUCUCCAGGGCCCGUUCUGGCAGGACCUCAGUGAGGAGACCUGGACACCUGUAGGAGCGCCUCCAGGUGUGUGGGCUCCAUGGUGGGCACACGGAGCCCCCAGCUGUGGUGUCCUCACCCCACGCACCUUCAGCAGGAAGUCUCGGGUGCCAAAGGACUCAGGCUUAUGCAGACAAAGCCUCUCCACCACCCUCCCCAGCUUCAUCUGUACCCUGGCUUCUGGAGACUCUACCGAAAUUCUCAUCUGUUCUGUCCUCCUUGGAGCGACUGCUCAAGGCAGCCCUCCCUGGACCAUCUGAAGUCUGGACAGAGGCCGGAAGGCACCCUGCUGGGUUAUGGGUCCCACACAGGGUUUGGGGGAGCAGAGGUUGGGCCAAGGCUGUGCUGGAGGGGGGAGAGCUGGGUCUGAGGAAGGCUGACCAGGCCUUGGCGGAAGGACAAGAACAAAGUGGAGAUUUAAGGUAAAAGUGGAAGCAGUUCCCCCAGAGCCACACCUUGGGGCCCGUGCUCACCCCAGGGCCUCAGGUUUCGCACUGGAGGUGGGGGAGGCAGGCAAAGUGCAUGGGUCAGAAGGGUGCUGCCCGGCUGGGUGGAGAGUGGGCAGGAAGGGCUGGAGAGGGAGAGCUGCACCAGGGGCCCACCUCCCCUCCCCUCGCCCACGUUACACCCCCACGUCAGUGACCUUCCCCAGCUGGUUUCUCUUGGCUUCUCUGCCCCCUGCCCUCUUUGCCCACUUGUCUCAAGCCUGUGGGAAUCAGGAGGCACCUGGGAAUCAAAUAUCACCAGGGUUCGAGCCCUGGUCUAGCCGCUCACCAGAUGAGCGCCCUCUAAGAGAGUCCUUGUUCCCCCCAGGCUCUCAGCUUCCUCCUCUGCACGGUGGGAACCACUAGGGCAAAAAUAAGUGGAAUAGGGCUUCCUUGGUGACUCAGUGGUUAAGAAUCUGCCUGUCAAAGCAGGAGACACAGGUUUGAUCCCU